AACACACAUGUCAAUAAAAAAAUUCAAAGUGCAGGGCAGUGGAGAUAAAAUAAAAUUUUAUAUUAUAUUAAUCGUUUCUUCAAUAGAAAUCUGUUUCAUUCGGUGCUUAGUAAUGAAGAGCAUUAUAUAAAGUUACAGUGAUUCAAUUUAAAAUGUUAUUACUUAUUUAAAAAGAAGAUAAACAACAUGGAUAACACUUUAUCUGAUGGAUCUUCAAGCUCUCCUUCUCAGAGUAACUUUGAAAUCUUAGACUAUGACUUCCUGCCACAAGAGUGGACAUUGGAUGCGCUGAGGCAGUCGGCGCUGCAGCAGCGGCUAGCGCGCCCUCGCAGCCUGGGAUGGGCUAUCAUGCUGCACGCGCUGCCUUCAGCGC
Ostrinia nubilalis (European corn borer) is the source of this 373-nucleotide long non-coding RNA. RefSeq lists it as uncharacterized. The record is from RefSeq and is a predicted model, not a curated record. The transcript has 3 exons. NCBI's taxonomy places the organism in Eukaryota, Metazoa, Arthropoda, Insecta, Lepidoptera, Crambidae.